CCUACGGGUGGCAGCAGUGGGGAAUAUUGGACAAUGGGGGCAACCCUGAUCCAGCCAUGCCGCGUGUGUGAAGAAGGCCCUCGGGUUGUAAAGCACUUUCAGUGAGGAAGAACGCCUGGUGGUUAAUACCCAUCAGGAAAGACAUCACUCACAGAAGAAGCACCGGCUAACUCCGUGCCAGCAGCCGCGGUAAUACGGAGGGUGCGAGCGUUAAUCGGAAUUACUGGGCGUAAAGCGCGCGUAGGUGGCUUGAUAAGCCGGUUGUGAAAGCCCCGGGCUCAACCUGGGAACGGCAUCCGGAACUGUCAAGCUAGAGUGCAGGAGAGGAAGGUAGAAUUCCCGGUGUAGCGGUGAAAUGCGUAGAGAUCGGGAGGAAUACCAGUGGCGAAGGCGGCCUUCUGGACUGACACUGACACUGAGGUGCGAAAGCGUGGGUAGCAAACAGGCUUAGAUACCCGGGUAGUC
RNAcentral lists this ribosomal RNA (465 nucleotides) under Vreelandella stevensii. Its description in RNAcentral is "partial 16S ribosomal RNA". It matches the Rfam family "Bacterial small subunit ribosomal RNA", at positions 338 to 795 of the family's 1533-position model. The record is from RNAcentral. Lineage: Bacteria; Pseudomonadati; Pseudomonadota; Gammaproteobacteria; Oceanospirillales; Halomonadaceae.